This 511-nucleotide transfer RNA is filed under the name Ooceraea biroi (clonal raider ant). Its description in RNAcentral is "slit homolog 2 protein, transcript variant X1". Lineage: Eukaryota; Metazoa; Arthropoda; Insecta; Hymenoptera; Formicidae. The record is from RNAcentral.
UAAUGUUCGUCUACUCGUUAUUGCAUUAUUUCAUAAACCUCGAUUCGCUUCGUUAUUAUGUUAUUUUCUGGCGGGUCGAGCCCAAUUUUAUUUCCGUCUGCCGUUGUUCUCGCGUAACCCCCUAUGCGUCCUUCUCGAAAUCGAUCACGUGACCUUUUGCGUAGCAAAAUGCAGAGUGUCGGCGUCUAAAUACGGAGUCGCGAGUUAUUGCGACGAAACGUUUUGCAUUGCGAAAUUCAUAACGGAAUAAUAUUUAUGAAAAUGAAGCGAACUUUAUCCCGACCGAUAACGAAAUUACUGGUUUCCGUGGUGUAGUGGUUAUCACAUCCGCCUAACACGCGGAAGGUCCCCGGUUCGAUCCCGGGCGGAAACAUUUUUUGCUUUCGCCAAAUUCAUCGAUGCAAGAUUAUGAGGUGGGAAGAUUAAGUUACAAAUACCCGUGGGCGCGGUGGGCAUCGAAAUCAGGAACUCCAGCAUCAAGACAAUACCAACGGACGCGUUCUCCGCGUAC